AUUGAACGCUGGCGGCAUGCCUUACACAUGCAAGUCGAACGGCAGCACGGGAGCAAUCCUGGUGGCGAGUGGCGAACGGGUGAGUAAUAUAUCGGAACGUGCCCAGUCGUGGGGGAUAACGUAGCGAAAGCUACGCUAAUACCGCAUACGAUCUAUGGAUGAAAGCGGGGGAUCGCAAGACCUCGCGCGAUUGGAGCGGCCGAUAUCAGAUUAGGUAGUUGGUGAGGUAAAGGCUCACCGAGCCGACGAUCUGUAGCUGGUCUGAGAGGACGACCAGCCACACUGGGACUGAGACACGGCCCAGACUCCUACGGGAGGCAGCAGUGGGGAAUUUUGGACAAUGGGCGCAAGCCUGAUCCAGCAAUGCCGCGUGCAGGAUGAAGGCCU
This 387-nucleotide ribosomal RNA is filed under the name uncultured bacterium. RNAcentral describes it as "bacterial SSU rRNA". It matches the Rfam family "Bacterial small subunit ribosomal RNA", at positions 30 to 417 of the family's 1533-position model. The record is from RNAcentral.